UUACAGGCGUGAGCCACCACGCCUGGCCUGGGAAAAUGAAGAUACCAAAGUUCAGAGAUGAUUAGGAAUUUUCCAAGAUCUCACAGCUCAGAAGUGACGGAGCCAGACUUUAAACCCAGGCAAACUGCUUCCGGGUCCCUGCUCUUCCUGCUCCGGUACUCCCAUGAACAGUGCUCCUUAUCUCAUUAUGUGCUGGCUUAGAAAUUCCAGGGGCUAAUUUUGAAACAAACCAGGCUUGCAGAUCCAGCUAUGAAAUCAGCUUGCUUAGUGGGCUUACAAACAAGGAGACCACCACCAAUAGGCAGAAGUCAAGAUGAUGCCAACUGGACCUCCAGGUGCUUGACUACUCAAGAAAGCCUUUGGAGCAAGACCUGCAGACCUGCACCUUCCUGCACCCCUCCCACCUGUUUCCUGUACCAUGUCUCCCUUCUGAAACCAUCUCACUCAGCCCAGAAAGUUGGACUGGUCUUUUAAAAGCAUGAGUCUGGCCAUUCCCCAAUUGCUAGCUUCCAAUUAAUAAAACUGUUUUCCUUUCGCUGC
This is a long non-coding RNA of Homo sapiens (human), 540 nucleotides long. RefSeq lists it as uncharacterized. Lineage: Eukaryota; Metazoa; Chordata; Mammalia; Primates; Hominidae. The record is from RefSeq and is a predicted model, not a curated record. The transcript has 3 exons.